GGGGAGGAAAAACCCAAUCCUCAUUUUGAAUUAGAAAGAAGAAAAGCUUACCACUUCAAGCAAGACAACAAUUCAAAUAUUAGAAGAGUUACUAUUUGAAGAGUAAUAAGCAUUGGACCUGCAGUUCCUUAGUUUGUAGCUGCAAAGUGCCUUACACCAGGAUUUUCCAGGAGUCCUUAUCUCUGAAGAUACAAAGGGGUUACAACUGGUAACAAAAAAGGAGAAAUAGUGGUAUUUUAAGAUCAUAAGGAGCUGGAAUAGAUGAGCUUGUAUCUUUCUGCUGAAGCCAUUUUACUCCAAGGAAGAAGUAAUUUUAUUUUCUUUGCUUAAAAAUUGUUGCUGUUCACUGUUUGUGCUGCUUGCAUAUUCAGACCCGAAGGAAGCUUUGUAAGUCACACUGCUUUAAAAAAAAAAAAAAAAAAUUGAGCUUUGACAUAAACUACCAAAGUGCUUUCAUUACUAGCAACAAUCUUUUCCUGUGGGUGCUGAAAACUGGGAAGCACUGAACAUCUAUUGUAUUUGGCGUAUUUGUCUUUUUUACCUUUAAGUACAUCAACAGGCACUAGCCCUUUGGUAUCUCACCACCACAAUGGAAGAAGUCUGGGUUGUGUAUCUGUGCCUGAUCUUGCUUAUCGUGGUGCUUUUUCUAAUGAAGCAUAACCCACAUUUGGAAGAGGCCAAGAAGGACAGGGAAAGCAAAAGCCCCCCACCAUCCUCUUCCUUUUCUCCCAGUACUGUUGGCAAACAGCUGGAGCACACCCAGGAAGAGCUGGAGCACUAUCUGGAGAGGCUAACCCAUGUCUUGUUUGACUCGGAAGCUAGGAAAAGGGAUGGCCACCAUGAUCAGAAGUCCCACCACCAACAGCACAGAACCACUGAUGUUACGUCUGAAACUAAAGAGCCUUCAGGGAAGGAGGCGACAUAUUCUCAGUAUCUGUCAAGCCACACCAGGGUUCAGGAAAAAACCACUAAUCCUGGAAGCACUGAGAAUAUUGAGGAAGAGAUUGGUGAGUUGGGCUAA
Molecule: long non-coding RNA, 1021 nt
Filed under: Struthio camelus australis
Lineage: Eukaryota; Metazoa; Chordata; Aves; Struthioniformes; Struthionidae
Description: lncRNA (ENSSCUG00000006602.1)
Source: RNAcentral